This is a non-coding RNA of Pan troglodytes (chimpanzee), 107 nucleotides long. The record is from Rfam. NCBI's taxonomy places the organism in Eukaryota, Metazoa, Chordata, Mammalia, Primates, Hominidae.
UGCUGGCUUCGGCAGCACAUAUACUAAAAAUUGGAAAGAUACGGAGAAGAUUAGCAUGGCCCCUGCACAAGAAUGACACACAAAUUCAUGAAGUGUUCCAUAUUAAA